Molecule: ribosomal RNA, 396 nt
Filed under: uncultured bacterium
Lineage: Bacteria
Description: bacterial SSU rRNA
Rfam family: Bacterial small subunit ribosomal RNA
Source: RNAcentral
AACGAACGCUGGCGGCGCGCCUAAUACAUGCAAGUCGAGCGAGAAGACGUAGCAAUACGUUUGUAAAGCGGCGAACGGGUGAGGAAUACAUGGGUAACCUACCCUAGAGUGGGGAAUAACUAGCCGAAAGGUUAGCUAAUACCGCGUACGCUCCUUGGACUUCGGUUCAGGGAGGAAAGCGAUACCGAGGGUAUCGCGCUCUUGGAUGGGCUCAUGUCCUAUCAGCUUGUGGUGAGGUAACGGCUCACCAAGGCUUCGACGGGUAGCUGGUCUGAGAGGACGAUCAGCCACACUGGCACUGCGACACGGGCCAGACUCCUACGGGAGGCAGCAGUAAGGAAUAUUGCGCAAUGGGCGAAAGCCUGACGCAGCGACGCCGCGUGGGGGAUGAAGGCC